RNAcentral lists this ribosomal RNA (450 nucleotides) under uncultured bacterium. Its description in RNAcentral is "partial 16S ribosomal RNA". It matches the Rfam family "Bacterial small subunit ribosomal RNA", at positions 338 to 795 of the family's 1533-position model. The record is from RNAcentral.
CCUACGGGGGGCUGCAGUAAGGAAUAUUGGUCAAUGGACGAAAGUCUGAACCAGCCAUGCCGCGUGGAGGAUGAAGGUCCUCUGGAUUGUAAACUUCUUUUAUAUGGGACGAAAAAAGGCCUUUCCAGGUCGUCUGACGGUACCAUAUGAAUAAGCACCGGCUAACUCCGUGCCAGCAGCCGCGGUAAUACGGAGGGUGCAAGCGUUACCCGGAUUCACGGGGUUUAAAGGGGGCUGAUGUGGCAGGGUUGAAAUCCCCGAGCUUAACUUGGGAACUGCCAUUGAUACUAUCAGUCUUGAAUACCGUGGAGGUCAGCGGAAUAUGUCAUGUAGCGGUGAAAUGCUUAGAUAUGACAUAGAACACCAAGUGCGAAGGCAGCUGGCUACACGAGUAUUGACACUGAGGCACGAAAGCGUGGGGAUCAAACAGGAUUAGAUACCCUUGUAGUC